Cavia porcellus (domestic guinea pig) is the source of this 667-nucleotide long non-coding RNA. RefSeq lists it as uncharacterized. The transcript has 2 exons. Lineage: Eukaryota; Metazoa; Chordata; Mammalia; Rodentia; Caviidae. The record is from RefSeq and is a predicted model, not a curated record.
CGGUGCCUGGCGCUGAGCCCGGAAGUGAGCUCCGCAAGGGCACGGCUUGCCCUCCAGCUGGCGCAGGUCUUGAGGGGCGUUACCCCGGGGUAUCUCGGGGUUCCAAGGCAGGAAGACUGGCGUCCGAGAAGCAGAUACGAUGAGGAGGAAGAGGCUGAAAUGGGGUCUGCUGCAGUCACGGGACAGCAGGUGCUGGAAGCCAGAAAAGACGAAGAAACCAGCUGUCCCCAAGAAACAUGGCCGGGGCCAUCUGUAUUAUCAGUACUAUCGUGGAGGCAUUUUUGCUGGGUUGUUUACCGCCAUACUUCUGCCUGCAGAGGAAUCCCCGGCACACGGAAGAGUCCCCAGCGAGCUAUGCACCCGCCGCAUACGUGAAGAAAAGCAGGAAAGCGGCUCGGUGUGAGUUUCCAGCCUGCCCGGGAGGACUCUUCCCUCCGUGAGUUUCUACAGCUCAUUGUAUCUCCGGGCUGCACAGGCUGAAACUCCAGAGAGCGUUAAUGAUGUGCCUGGCGCCCCGGGGAGAUGCCCUGAACUUUCCAUGCGAGCUCUGGACUUGGCUGCUUCCGACUCCUCGUCCUGCUUAGGAAAACCCGAGGGCAAGGAAGGGAAAAAGUGAACACUUCACACAUUCAUCUUCAAAGCACUUAAUAAACGUUCAAGUAAUUAA